Molecule: transfer RNA, 88 nt
Filed under: Moritella sp. Urea-trap-13
Lineage: Bacteria; Pseudomonadati; Pseudomonadota; Gammaproteobacteria; Alteromonadales; Moritellaceae
Description: tRNA-Ser
Rfam family: tRNA
About the family: Transfer RNA (tRNA) molecules are approximately 80 nucleotides in length.
Source: RNAcentral
GGUGACGUGUCCGAGUGGCUGAAGGAGCUCGCCUGGAAAGCGUGUAAAGGGAAACUUUUCGAGAGUUCGAAUCUCUCCGUCACCGCCA